AUGGAUUUUAGCCCGUCGAUCUUGUGUUGGAAUGUGAGAGGGUUAAACAACCCAGCGAAGAGAGAUGCCAUAAGGGCGUUUGUCACCACUGUGAGAGUGAAUGUAGUUUGCAUGCAAGAAACUAAGAUGGAAGUCAUUGACCGCUACACCGUGCUUCAAUGCCUCGGGUCGUCCUUUGAUGGCUUCGCUUUCUUGCCUGCCGUAGAUACGAGAGGUGGAGUUCUCAUCGCAUGGGAUUCGACCUGUAUUGACAUCGACCACUUUCAGGCGAAUACGGAUUUCAUCUCGGGGCGAGUUCAUAUGAGACAAGGUCCUGGUGGAUCUCCGCGGUCUACGGACCGCAAGGAAACACCCGGAAAACUGCGUUCCUGGAGGGCUCCACGUAGCUCGUGUGCUCUGGCCAGGGUCGUGGAUGAUCCUUGGCGAUUUUAA
This 432-nucleotide ribosomal RNA is filed under the name Triticum aestivum (bread wheat). RNAcentral's name for it is "partial small subunit ribosomal RNA". The record is from RNAcentral. Lineage: Eukaryota; Viridiplantae; Streptophyta; Magnoliopsida; Poales; Poaceae.